This 1178-nucleotide ribosomal RNA is filed under the name uncultured Psychrobacter sp. RNAcentral's name for it is "bacterial SSU rRNA". It matches the Rfam family "Bacterial small subunit ribosomal RNA", at positions 208 to 1364 of the family's 1533-position model. Lineage: Bacteria; Pseudomonadati; Pseudomonadota; Gammaproteobacteria; Moraxellales; Moraxellaceae. The record is from RNAcentral.
GCAGUUUACUGCUCUCGCUAUUAGAUGAGCCUAAGUCGGAUUAGCUAGAUGGUGGGGUAAAGGCCUACCAUGGCGACGAUCUGUAGCUGGUCUGAGAGGAUGAUCAGCCACACCGGGACUGAGACACGGCCCGGACUCCUACGGGAGGCAGCAGUGGGGAAUAUUGGACAAUGGGGGGAACCCUGAUCCAGCCAUGCCGCGUGUGUGAAGAAGGCCUUUUGGUUGUAAAGCACUUUAAGCAGUGAAGAAGACCUAACGGUUAAUACCCGUUAGCGAUGACAUUAGCUGCAGAAUAAGCACCGGCUAACUCUGUGCCAGCAGCCGCGGUAAUACAGAGGGUGCAAGCGUUAAUCGGAAUUACUGGGCGUAAAGCGAGCGUAGGUGGCUUGAUAAGUCAGAUGUGAAAUCCCCGGGCUUAACCUGGGAACUGCAUCUGAUACUGUUAAGCUAGAGUAGGUGAGAGGGAAGUAGAAUUCCAGGUGUAGCGGUGAAAUGCGUAGAGAUCUGGAGGAAUACCGAUGGCGAAGGCAGCUUCCUGGCAUCAUACUGACACUGNGGCCCGNUUGNGGGGGUAAGCACUUCCUUGAUUAAAGAUACCCUGGUAGUCCACGCCGUAAACGAUGUCUACUAGUCGUUGGGUCCCUUGAGGACUUAGUGACGCAGCUAACGCAAUAAGUAGACCGCCUGGGGAGUACGGUCGCAAGGUUAAAACUCAAAUGAAUUGACGGGGGCCCGCACAAGCGGUGGAGCAUGUGGUUUAAUUCGAUGCAACGCGAAGAACCUUACCUGGUCUUGACAUAUCUAGAAUCCUGCAGAGAUGCGGGAGUGCCUUCGGGAACUCUNGNAUACAGGUGCUGCAUGGCUGUCGUCAGCUCGUGUUGUGAGAUGUUGGGUUAAGUCCCGCAACGAGCGCAACCCUUGUCCUUAGUUACCAGCGGGUUAAGCCGGGAACUCUAAGGAUACUGCCAGUGACAAACUGGAGGAAGGCGGGGACGACGUCAAGUCAUCAUGGCCCUUACGACCAGGGCUACACACGUGCUACAAUGGUAGGUACAGAGGGCAGCUACACAGCGAUGUGAUGCGAAUCUCAAAAAGCCUAUCGUAGUCCAGAUUGGAGUCUGCAACUCGACUCCAUGAAGUAGGAAUCGCUAGUAAUCGCGGAUCAGAAUGCCGCGGUG